This is a long non-coding RNA of Dreissena polymorpha, 4910 nucleotides long. RefSeq lists it as uncharacterized. Lineage: Eukaryota; Metazoa; Mollusca; Bivalvia; Myida; Dreissenidae. The record is from RefSeq and is a predicted model, not a curated record. The transcript is spliced from 2 exons.
ACUAGGAUCAUGAAACUUAAUAGAGACAUUGAUCAUGACCAGCAUCUGACCCCUACUGAUUUUCAGGUCAAUAGGUCAAAGGUCAAGGUCACAGUGACCUGAAACAGUAAAAUGGUUAACUGGAAAUAGCAAAAUGUUUUCCGAAUGAUAACUCAAGAACGCUUACCCCUGGGAUCAUGAAACUUCAUAGGGGCAUUGAUCAUAACUGGCAGAUGACUCAUUGAUUUUCAGGUCACUAGGUCAAAGGUCACAGUGAAACGAGGCAGUAAAGUGGUUUACUGGAAAUAGGAAAAUGCUUUCCAGAUGAUAACUCAAGAAGGCUUACGCCUGGUAUCAUGAAACCAUCACCACCUCCACCACCACCACAAUGACAAAAAACGUAUUCACACAAUGGCUGCCGUUACAACUGACAGCCCAUAUGGGGGGCAUGCAUUUUUACAAACAGCCCUUGUUCUUUUUCAAGUAACCAGUCUUAAAAACUUUUAAUGGGCCAAAAAAUAAUUUGGUUUUGUUAAUUUAAUGUCACCUGAAUAUGUAUACAUGUAUUCAUAGUGUUUUAAAUAUAGUGAACUUGUGUUUGCUGUAGGUAUAAUGGCAUUUUUAACAUACCUGAAAUUACGCAUAUACUUGCUUGAUUUUGUCAUUUGCAAAGAUUGCCAACAUACAACAUGAAGAAGUAAUUAGGCAAAAUUAUUUUUACAAUACUUGAGGCUGAACCCUACACAUUCAGUUUAAUUGGGUCUAGCCACUCAUUAGUUAUCAAUAAGAAAGCAGGGAGAUUUAAUAUUUGAGUUUCAUCUACAGAUCAUGAGAUGUAGCAUUUAUAGGUACAGGAAAAGACUCGACCUUGUAUAAAUGCAAAGGAUCUUUCAGUUAUAAAAUUAGAAGUUUUAAAAUUAAAAACAAGCUUGAUCUUGUAAACAGAAAAUCAUUCAUUGAGUACACGACUUUCCAUUGAUUAAAUCAGGAACUCCUAACUUAAAUUCUUCUAAUUCAUCAUGUAUGCUAUUGGUUUCUCUUAUAUGAUCCAUAAGAAUACUUGUAACAUAAUAAAUGACUUGGUGCAUAUUUGAGGAUGUUGACUGCAAUCCACAGUCAAUAAAUUUGUUUGGUAGCAUGUUAUAUUUAAUACCUGACAUACAGUUGUCCAUUCUUAUAAAUGGUUAGUUUAUUCAUGUGAUCAGCAAGAAAAUUUACAUGAUCCAUUGUUGUAGUGCCGAAAAGUCCUGUUGAAAGUUUAUCUAUGAAAAGCAAAAGUGCACUUUUACUACUCGAUUAGAUUAUGGUUGAUUAAAGAAUGAGACUAUAAAUACUCGAAAUUGUACACUUGUAUUUUGCUCCUGUUCAUUGUCUGAGGCUUUUUAUUCGAGUCAUCAUGUGAGAUAACAUGUGACACGAUUGAUUGUUCACUUAACAAGCUUGAAGUGCAGGCACAUCAAAUUAAUUUGUGUUCCUCUUCAAUUAAAGCAUGAUGUCUAUUUAUUAAGAGGGUGUUAUUUUCAACUGCUAAUAUGUAAAAGGUGAUUUUCCUAUAAAAGACUAUUUUACAUCUUAACCAUUCGAAAAUUUAAGUGCGUUUUCCUUUGUUAUUUAGCCCUUUUACAUUUACAGUACAUAUGUUAAUACUCAUACAAAAGACAGAGAAUUACAUGAUGCUAUUCUUGUUCCAAACAUUUAAAAAUCAUUUUGUAGAACUAGAUUAUUAUGCCCCCCUUCGAAGAAGAGGGGGUAUAUUGCUUUGCUCAUGUCGGUCGGUCGGUCUGUCUGUCCACCACGUGGUUGUCAGACGAUAACUCGAGAACCCUUGGGCCUAGGAUCAUGAAACUUCAUAGGUACAUUGAUCAUGACUUGCAGAUGACCCCUAUUGAUUUUGAGGUCACUAGGUCAAAGGUCAAGGUCACGGUGACCAGAAAUAGUAAAAUGGUUUUUGAAUGAUAACUCAAGAACGCAUACGCCUAGGAUCAUGAAACUUCAUGGGUAGAUUGAUCAUGACUUGCAGAUGACCCCUAUUGAUUUUGAGGUCACUAGGUCGAAGGUCAAGGUCACGGUGACCCGAAAUAGUAAAAUGGUUUAGGAUGAUAACUCAAGAACGUUUACGCCUAGGAUCAUGAAACUUCAUAGGUAGAUUGAUCAUGACUUGCAGAUGACCCCUAUUGAUUUUGAGGUCACAAGGUCCAAGGUCACGGUCACCCGAAAUAGGAAAAUGAUUUUCGUAUGAUAACUCGAGAACGCUUUUGCCUAGAAUCAUGACACUUCAUAGGUACAUUAAUCGUGACCCGCAGAUGACCCCUAUUGAUUUUCAGGUCAAAGGUCAAGGUCACAGUGACAAAAAUCGUAUUCACACAAUGGCUGCCACUACAACGGAAAGCCCGUAUGGGGGGGAUGCAUGUUUUACAAACAGCCCUUGUUAGUUAAUACUUCAUUAUGCAAAGUUAUAUUAAGCUUUGAUGUUUAAAACCAUCAACUUCCAUGUUCUACAAGUUGUUAAUGCAUUGUAUUCAUUAAAUUGAUCUCAGCACUAAAUACUUGUUCAUUUUUUUCGAUGGUAUUGGUAACUCUGCCCUGCCUUUAUUUAGAUUGAUCUCGGUACAAUUUAUAAACAUUUCAUUAUCAAUAGCACUUUGCUUUUUGAGUGGUUACUCCUCCGUUGUUAUAUGAAUAAUUUAGUGAAAAUGUUAAAUGUGUUUAAAUAUUGUUCCAAAAUAUUUUAUAACACUCAAUAGUGAUGCCAUCAGAUUCCGGACUUUUGUUAUUUGGCAUUUUUAAACGAGCUUGUCAAUAUUCAUAUUCAGUUUGUAAUCCUUCACAUCAUUGUUAUCUUUUCCUUUAAAGCAUAAUGUGUUAUAUUAAACAGGUUGUUUUUUUCAACAUUCUUUCGUUUAUAGUUUUCCGCAAAAUAGGCUUCUCCUAUAAUUUGACUUUUAUUUGUUAUGUCUUUGCCAUUAACUACUAGUCUGUGUAUAGUUUUGAGUUUGCUACUACGUUUUAAAAUGUUUGCACAGUAUUUUGUAUUGUUUUCAUUGUGUUCAACAUGCUGUGCCCAUGCUCAAAUUAAUAUGCCGUUGAGGUGUGUGUGAUAAAUUCCUUCCAUUAUUUUUUUGGUGUGUGAAAAUUUCCAUCUUCAAUGGAGGUGGUAUAAUUUGUGUUUCUUUUAUGCAUCUGUUUUUCAAGUGCUUCAAUGACUUUUAUGGCUUCAUUUUCAAGUUUGUGUGUUUCUUUUUUUUUUUUAGCUUACCUGAGCACAACGUGCUUAUGGUGAGCUUUUGUGAUUGCCUUUUGUGUGUCGUCUGUCGUGCAGCGUCAACAUUUACCUUGUUAACACUUAAGAGGUCAUAUUUAUUGUCCAAUCUUCGUGAAACUUGGUCAGAACAUGUGUCCCAUUAAUAUCUUGGACAAGUUCGAAAAUGCUUCUUAUUGUUGAAAAACCUGGGUGCCAAGGGGCGUGGCAGUUUUCCUAAUAUGGCUAUUGUAAAACCUUGUUUAAGACUGUAGAAGUUACAUUUUUUGUCCAAUCAUCAUGAAACUUGGUCAGAACAUGUGUUCCAAUAAAAUCUUUGACAAUUUCAAAAAUGAUUCCGUUGGAAGAAAAACAUGGCCGCCAGGGGGCGGGGCAGUUUUCCUAUUAAGGCUAUAGUAAAACUUGUUCACACUGUAGAAGUCAAAUUUAUUGUCCAAUCUUCAUGACUUAGUCAUAACAUUUGUUCUAAUGAUAUUUUGAUCGAGUUCGAAUAUGGACUAAUUGGUUGAAAAACAUGGCUGCCAGGUGGCGUGGCAGUUUUUCCUUAAAUGGCUACAGUAAAACCUUCAUAACACUCUAGAAGUCACAUUUUUAGAUCCUCACAACAUGUUUCCCUAUAAAAUCUUAAAUGAGUUCGAAAAUGGUUCCAGUUGAAUAAAAAACAUGGCCGCCAUUGGUCGUGGCAGUUUCUUUCGUUUAGUGUUUCGAAAAAUAAGCUUCUUCUAUCAUUUGACUUUGAUUUGUUACGUCUUUGCCAUUAACUACUAGUCAGUGUAUAGUUUUGUGUUUGUUUCUACGUUUUAAAAUGUUUGCACAGUAUUUUGUAUUGUUUUCAUUGUGUUCAACAUGCUGUGCCCGUGCUCGAAGUACUAUGCCUUAGGGCCUAACGGCCCUCUUGUUUUAAAUGACGUGCAUCUUAUUGUUGUGUUAAGUAUCUUGCCUUUAAUUAUUUCCUAUAAGGUGUUUGGAUUUGCGUCUUUGUUAUCUUAAAUUGUAUUGGUUAUUACCUGUUAUAUUUGUGUUUCAUAUUGUGUAUUUUUCAAAAGCUAUUAUUUACUUUUAUAAAAAAAAGGAACAUUUUGAAUAGCAUAAUUGAAAACUACAAUUUCAUAAACAUAUGGCAUACAGUUAAUCAUAAUGAAAGAAAAUUCACCUGCCACUCAAACACAAAACCAGCAAUAUUUUGGAGUAAGAUUUUUUUUAAUAUGCGAGUCUAUUUGCAACAUUAUCGACACAUGCAACAUAAAACCAGGAUUUAUGACUGAUCACUCUGUAGUUGAACUUUAACUGCAUGAAAUACAACCUGAAAUAGCCCAAGGUACUUUAAAGAUUUCCAUUUCUUUUAUCUCUAAUAAUGGGUUAAAAACAAUAUUGAAAUCCUCUCCGACUAUCUAUGUUCGGACCAUAAACGUUCAUUAAUGUUAAUUGUGUUCCGUGUAUUUUUAUUCCCCUCUUCGAAGAAGAGAGGGUAUAUUGCUUUCCUCAUGUCGGUCAGUCCGUCCGUCCACCAGGUGGUUGUCUUAGACGAUAACUCAAAAACGCUUGGGCCUAGGAUCAUGAAACUUCAUAGGUACAUAGAUCAUGACUCGCAGAUGACCCCUAUUGAUUUUGAGGUCACUAGGUCAAAGGUCACGGUGACCCGAAAGAGUAAAAUGGUUUUUGAAUGAUAACU